GAUGAACGCUAGCUACAGGCUUAACACAUGCAAGUCGAGGGGCAGCAUGGUCUUAGCUUGCUAAGGCCGAUGGCGACCGGCGCACGGGUGAGUAACACGUAUCCAACCUGCCGUCUACUCUUGGACAGCCUUCUGAAAGGAAGAUUAAUACAAGAUGGCAUCAUGAGUCCACAUGUUCACAUGAUUAAAGGUAUUCCGGUAGACGAUGGGGAUGCGUUCCAUUAGAUAGUAGGCGGGGUAACGGCCCACCUAGUCUUCGAUGGAUAGGGGUUCUGAGAGGAAGGUCCCCCACAUUGGAACUGAGACACGGUCCAAACUCCUACGGGAGGCAGCAGUGAGGAAUAUUGGUCAAUGGGCGAGAGCCUGAACCAGCCAAGUAGCGUGAAGGAUGACUGCCCUAUGGGUUGUAAACUUCUUUUAUAAAGGAAUAAAGUCGGGUAUGCAUACCCGUUUGCAUGUACUUUAUGAAUAAGGAUCGGCUAACUCCGUGCCAGCAGCCGCGGUAAUACGGAGGAUCCGAGCGUUAUCCGGAUUUAUUGGGUUUAAAGGGAGCGUAGAUGGAUGUUUAAGUCAGUUGUGAAAGUUUGCGGCUCAACCGUAAAAUUGCAGUUGAUACUGGAUAUCUUGAGUGCAGUUGAGGCAGGUGGAAUUCGUGGUGUAGCGGUGAAAUGCUUAGAUAUCACGAAGAACUCCGAUUGCGAAGGCAGCCUGCUAAGCUGCAACUGACAUUGAGGCUCGAAAAUGUGGGUAUCAAACAGGAUUAGAUACCCUGGUAGUCCACACGGUAAACGAUGAAUACUCGCUGUUUGCGAUAUACAGCAAGCGGCCAAGCGAAAGCGUUAAGUAUUCCACCUGGGGAGUACGCCGGCAACGGUGAAACUCAAAGGAAUUGGCGGGGGCCCGCACAAGCGGAGGAACAUGUGGUUUAAUUCGAUGAUACGCGAGGAACCUUACCCGGGCUUAAAUUGCAGAUGAAUUACGGUGAAAGCCGUAAGCCGCAAGGCAUCUGUGAAGGUGCUGCAUGGUUGUCGUCAGCUCGUGCCGUGAGGUGUCGGCUUAAGUGCCAUAACGAGCGCAACCCUUGUUGUCAGUUACUAACAGGUUCUGCUGAGGACUCUGACAAGACUGCCAUCGUAAGAUGUGAGGAAGGUGGGGAUGACGUCAAAUCAGCACGGCCCUUACGUCCGGGGCUACACACGUGUUACAAUGGGGGGUACAGAGGGCCGCUACCACGCGAGUGGAUGCCAAUCCCCAAAACCUCUCUCAGUUCGGACUGGAGUCUGCAACCCGACUCCACGAAGCUGGAUUCGCUAGUAAUCGCGCAUCAGCCACGGCGCGGUGAAUACGUUCCCGGGCCU
This 1358-nucleotide ribosomal RNA is filed under the name uncultured bacterium. RNAcentral describes it as "bacterial SSU rRNA". It matches the Rfam family "Bacterial small subunit ribosomal RNA", at positions 28 to 1381 of the family's 1533-position model. The record is from RNAcentral.